GACGAACGCUGGCGGCGUGCUUAACACAUGCAAGUCGAACGGAAAGGCCCUGCUUUUGUGGGGUGCUCGAGUGGCGAACGGGUGAGUAACACGUGAGUAACCUGCCCUUGACUUUGGGAUAACUUCAGGAAACUGGGGCUAAUACCGGAUAGGAGCUCCUGCUGCAUGGUGGGGGUUGGAAAGUUUCGGCGGUUGGGGAUGGACUCGCGGCUUAUCAGCUUGUUGGUGGGGUAGUGGCUUACCAAGGCUUUGACGGGUAGCCGGCCUGAGAGGGUGACCGGCCACAUUGGGACUGAGAUACGGCCCAGACUCCUACGGGAGGCAGCAGUGGGGAAUAGUGCACAAUGGGCGGAAGCCUGAUGAAGCAACGCCGCGUGCGGGAUGACGGCCUUCGGGUUGUAAACCGCUUUCGCCUGUGACGAAGCGUGAGUGACGGUAAUGGGUAAAGAAGCACCGGCUAACUACGUG
RNAcentral lists this ribosomal RNA (468 nucleotides) under uncultured bacterium. Its description in RNAcentral is "partial 16S ribosomal RNA". It matches the Rfam family "Bacterial small subunit ribosomal RNA", at positions 28 to 507 of the family's 1533-position model. The record is from RNAcentral.